UCAACUUUGACAAAACAAUAAAGGAAAAAACGAAGACAGUAAAACAACCGUAUGGGUACGGUGUUUACCGGCUCGGCGUAAAACCAAUCAGGCAAGAGAUGACGGCGGUUAUAUAUGUAAUCACCGUUCUAAUGAGAAGACGAUCGUAAUCUCUGAGCUCAAAGAUGGAAAGCAGUAACCAGUCAAAAGUAUAACAACAACAGGGUGUUUCAGCAUCAAAAGGUCAAUGAUGGGGAGGCCGCUAGAAAUGUGAUCAACAAGGCUAGGGUCUGGUCGCUGCAUAGGAGGAAGAAUAUACCUUUCGGGUAUAUUUUCUUCACAUUUUUGGUUAAGUGCCAUGACGCUGGGAUAAUCAAGAACAAGUUCAGAUGACUAUGUGAAGUUAUUACAUCGAUAAAUCUCCCUGGCGGUGUUUCUCAAUCUGCAGAAAUAAGGCAAGUGGAUCUCAUAUAUGUUUUCCGACAUAUUUUUGUUUGUAUUUAACGUUAAUAAAUGCAAAGACUUCUUUCCUGCAAGUUUUGGCAAGAUCUUGUGUGCCAGUACCUAACUUAGGCGUAGUUGGUUUCUAUGUUAUUCAAGGUUGAAGUGAUAGUCUUUCACUUUAUAUUUUUUGGUAACUAACAUGAUUAAAAAAAAAAAUUCUGUUAGAAUUUAUUAACAUUGCACAAGUAGUUUAUUUAAAUUUAAUAUUUUUACAAGGAA
Molecule: long non-coding RNA, 702 nt
Organism: Erigeron canadensis
Lineage: Eukaryota; Viridiplantae; Streptophyta; Magnoliopsida; Asterales; Asteraceae
Exons: 3
Source: RefSeq, a predicted model, not a curated record